RNAcentral lists this ribosomal RNA (253 nucleotides) under uncultured bacterium. Its description in RNAcentral is "partial 16S ribosomal RNA". It matches the Rfam family "Bacterial small subunit ribosomal RNA", at positions 524 to 776 of the family's 1533-position model. The record is from RNAcentral.
GACGGAGGAUGCAAGUGUUAUCCGGAAUUACUGGGCGUAAAGAGCUCGUAGGCGGUUUGUCGCGUCGUCUGUGAAAACUCGAGGCUCAACCUCGAGCUUGCAGGCGAUACGGGCAGACUUGAGUACUGCAGGGGAGACUGGAAUUCCUGGUGUAGCGGUGAAAUGCGCAGAUAUCAGGAGGAACACCGGUGGCGAAGGCGGGUCUCUGGGCCGAUACUGACGCUGAGGAGCGAAAGCGUGGGGAGCGAACAGG